RNAcentral lists this ribosomal RNA (434 nucleotides) under uncultured Ruminococcus sp. RNAcentral's name for it is "partial 16S ribosomal RNA". It matches the Rfam family "Bacterial small subunit ribosomal RNA", at positions 341 to 792 of the family's 1533-position model. The record is from RNAcentral. Lineage: Bacteria; Bacillati; Bacillota; Clostridia; Eubacteriales; Oscillospiraceae.
ACGGAAGGCAGCAGUGGGGAAUAUUGCACAAUGGGCGCAAGCCUGAUGCAGCGAUGCCGCGUGAGGGAAGAAGGUUUUCGGAUUGUAAACCUCUGUCAACAGGGACGAAAAUGACGGUACCUGUGAAGGAAGCUCCGGCUAACUACGUGCCAGCAGCCGCGGUAAUACGUAGGGAGCAAGCGUUAUCCGGAAUUACUGGGUGUAAAGGGAGUGUAGGCUGGACUGUAAGUCAGAUGUGAAAUAUGCCGGCUCAACUGGCAGACUGCAUUUGAAACUGCGGUUCUUGAGUGAAGUAGAGGUAAGCGGAAUUCCUAGUGUAGCGGUGAAAUGCGUAGAUAUUAGGAGGAACAUCAGUGGCGAAGGCGGCUUACUGGGCUUUAACUGACGCUGAGGCUCGAAAGCGUGGGGAGCAAACAGGAUUAGAUACCCUGGUA